RNAcentral lists this long non-coding RNA (5762 nucleotides) under Salvia miltiorrhiza (redroot sage). Its description in RNAcentral is "long non-coding RNA (SMIL_LNC006343)". The record is from RNAcentral. Lineage: Eukaryota; Viridiplantae; Streptophyta; Magnoliopsida; Lamiales; Lamiaceae.
GGGGUGGUCUUGAAAGGAGCGACUCUGGUUGCGAUCCGGCCGAGCGAGCAGCCCAAGAAGGAGGUGGCGGGAUCGGAGGCAAAUUGGGUUGCAUCGGCAUUUGAGGAGCCAUUUGGGACUGCUGCAAGGAUGUUGGUGAAGAGGAGGACCUACUGCCUCGAAAUGAACUCUUUCUGAAGGAGGGGCCUUGUUUGAGAUGAUGAGACAGAUGCAUGAGGUACUUCCCUUUUUUAUGAUGUGGUUGAAUGCUAGGAGUAUAUUGUAUUCUCUGUUUUCUGUUGCUUUUUUCCCAUUCCCUUCGAAGUUAUAUUAUCAAUUAUCUUGUUUAUUGUCUCUUGUUAGUUUAUUCUUGUUAAUGUUUCAAUGAUAGUAAACCGCUCUGUGUAGGUUUCUGAAAAUCAUGGGUGUCAUAUUCUUGAUUAAUAAGUUCUGUUACCAAUUGCAUAUGGUUUUGCACUAAAUUACACAUUGGAUCCCCUAUUACAUAAGAGAGGUGCUUGAAGUAUGUCUUAAUCUAAAUAGUUUUGCCAGUCUGGUUCCAAUAAUUUCCUGAUAUUAGAGAUAUUAUCUUGCAUUCUGCCAUAUUUCAUGCUAUUUUCUUGGUUCUUCAUCUGUUUUGAAAUUUGAUUGUUUACAAAUGAAGAUGCUUGUUGUAAUACUGUUUCAUUGGUUCUGCAUCUUAUCAAUUGAGGUUGGAAGGGCACCGUCUAUCUCCAUUUCUAGAAAGCUAGGUGAAAUUUUCGUUCCGUUGUGAUGCAUCUGUCAUCUGGCUGGGACAUUGUGAAUGCGUUGUGAUUGUGAUUAUGGCAAACCAAUACGAAGUUGAAUGACUUAAGAGUUCUGCCAUGAUAACCUUUUAAUGUCUUCCAUUUCUCAAUUAACGUUGUAAGCUUGUUAUUAUUCAUGCCUAAGCUGCUAUGCCCAACCACUUUCUCUGUUCACGGAUUUCGCGUUUGCACUCUAGUUUUUGGGGAAUUCUGUGCUGCCACUGCGAUAUUGUCAUCUCUUAUAAGCUCUUCUUUCUUUAAAUACUGAUCUUUUUCUCCCUAAUCUAUUGGUAAUUCUGAUUUCUUUGUUCUAUACAAGGAUCUUUCAGGUAGAGUGUGGCAACGGAAGGUCCCAAAAGCGCAGAGCACGAAUUUUGUCUUGAGCAGAGCAAGCUGCAAGCCAGUUGCCGGCCAAGUUCAUACGGCUUCCGGUUACGACGUUGGUGGUUGAUGAAGAGCCUGCAAUUGAUGAUCAAACUGCUUUCAUUUUGAAUACUUUAAAGAGGGGGGGUGCUAUGCAACUGGAUAAUCAUGUUGUAAGAGUUAUGAGAUUUUGAUAAUCUGUCUGUGUUAGUUAUAUGUAUAUGUGAAUAUUGUAGGUAUGAUAUGACCAUCUAUGCUUAUCUGCUCUCCUUUUUCUGAAAGGUUCAGCUGCAUAUUAUAUUUUAGCUGAUUUACCCACCAAUAAAUGUCAAAACGCCUCUUCAUUUCUAUUAAUCAAGGAUAUUUUGUAGUUCAAUCUUCAUUUGUUUAUUUCUGCUAGGGUAGCAAAAUGAUUUUAUUUACUCAAUUCUUCGAUAUUUUUUCUAUGGUAUUAUCCUUUGAUUGUGACUGCCAUUUUCUCCACACCCUUCUAUUCUUCAUCAAUCAUCACUGCGCUAUAUAAUUAAAAGGACUAUAAAACAAAAUGAACAUAUAAAAAUAGUUGAUAUUAUAUGCAAAACCCUACUAUUCUUUUUACGGAGACUACGAAGUCAAAAAACAUAAUUAAUUUUGAAAAAUUAUAGUACUCUUUUCAGUAUACAAAAAAUUUGUCAUAUAUAUAUUUUUUCCGAUCUGUUCACGAAAACAUGUUAUUUAUAUUUAUAAUAGUAGAGUUCACACAACUUCACACACAUUAAAAUUGAGACUCUAGCUCUAUUAAAAAUUUUAUUCGCAUUUUAUUAAAAUUUAUGCUAUCUAUAAUGUGACAAUUUUUUUUGUGGACAGAUGAAUAGGUGUAACAAACGGAUUAUGUAAUUACUACUCCCCGUCCACGAAAAAUAAAAAUACUAGUUUCUUUUUAUUAUUUUGGGGUAUCCACGAAAAUUGAUCUCUAUACAUUAUUGAAAACUUUCUAUCAAGUGGUGAACUAUUUUCGCUACUCACAAUACAAUUAAUUAUCAUUAUUAAUAUUAUUUUUUUAAAUGAGACUCCUCUAUUUGUGAUACACUCAAUUAUUUUUAUUAAAAUUUGUGUCAUCCUCUUCUAUGACUAUUUUUUUGUGGACAAAUAGAUUAUUUGUGAGUAUAUUUUGGUAAAAAAAAAACGGUUGAAAACUUGAAAUCACACAUGUAUGAAUCAUUGAAUUGGAUCCUCUUCUUCAAUAUCAAUUCAGUGAAAUCUUGGAGACUCGAAUUAUUAGUGUUAGUAGGUAAAAAUGCCCACUUUGUUAAGUGUAAAAUUAAAAAUCUCACUUUUUAUAAAAACUUGAUCAUAUGCCCAAAUUAAAGUGAUGAAUCGAAAUUAUCCUUGGAUGUUGAUGAUUUUGCAUCAACUUUUGUGUAACUUUUUCUGAUACAAAUACAAAUAUUUAAGAAAAAUAUAAGAAAAAGUAGUCUGCUGUCGGAAAAGUAGGUUGUCACUCGAGCGGCAACCUACUUAGUGAGGUUGCCGCUCGUACGACAAGCUACUUUUUUGACCGGUAAGCUACAUUUUUAAUUGAAAAUUUUAAUUUGUUACAAGAAAAAGUAGGUUGCCGCUCGGGAGGCAACCUACUUAGUGAGGUUGCCAAUCGAGCGACAACCUACUUUUCCGACAACUGACUACUCCCUCCGUCCGCCAAAAAUAUGACACUUUGGCUGGGCACGAGAUUUAAUAAAAUUGGUAAUAAUGUUGAUGUAGUGGAGAAAUGGUCUCACAAUUUUAUGAGAUGUGUGGUUGAAAUUGAAUUUGAGGUGAAUUUUUUGUAAAUAAAGAGUGUUUGUAAGGAUAAAAUAUAAAAAUGGAUGGUGGGACCAUUGCCUUAAAAGGAAAGUUGUAUAAUCUUUGCGGACGCCCAAUAUAGUAAUUGUGUCAUACUUUUGGCGGACAUAUGAGAUAUUUUUUAUCUUACAAGUACACUGAUUGAGACAUGAAGGGUAGUUUAGGUAUUUUGAGUAUAUGAUUAAGUUUUUAUAAUAUGUGGAUAUUUUUAAUUUUUGACUUAACCAAAUAGGCAUAAAAAAUUCCGCCUCCGAAUUAUUAGUUACUAGAAAAUUAAAAGAGAAGAAAAGAAAAAAGAAGAAAAGAAAAUACUAGUAUAAUAUAGAAAAAAUACAGUAUAAAAAUAAAACGGAACGACAGGCAGCAAUGUCGUUUGGGAAUUCAACUGUCCCAGGCUCCGCAUAUCUACUGUCAUAGGCUCAUAGCCAUAGGCACUUAAAAAGCAAAGAAAAAAAAGAAAGAAAAAAACGAGAAGAAAGAAAAACACGCACAACACACACCACACCACCAUUUUCCUCUUCCUCCUCCUUCACUCACUUCUCCCAAAUUCCCCCCACCUCAUUAAACUCCCACCCUAAUUCCACAAAUCCAAACUCUCUCCCUCUCUCUCUCAGAUCCAUUGAGUUUGUUUGACUCAAUUUCUUCCUUCACAUCUUUCUACCUAAACUCGCUUGAAAUCACCUUCCGAUUCUCGUGUAUCUGGUGCCAACUUGUUGGGGGUGUUUUGGCUCAAGAGCUCGAAUUGUCGCUGAAAGCUAUGGCUUCGAUUGGAGCAGAUCUGUGCCGCAAAAUCUACCCCGAGCCGGUCGACCACUUCGAUCGGUUGCCGGACUCUCUCAUCCUCUUGAUCUUCAAUAAAAUCGGAGACGUGAAGGCGCUGGGCCGAUGCUGCGUCGUUUCGAGGCGGUUCCACUCGCUCGUUCCCCAAGUCGACAACGUCGUAGUCCGCGUCGACUGCGUCAUCUCCGAUGACGAUCCUUCCUCCAACUCUUCUUCGUCCGCAUCCGGUUCCGCCGCCGGCGACAAGUCGCGCCACCCUAUCUCCUCCCUCUUCCGCAUCUUCUUCUCCGGGAUCUUCAAACCCUUGCAGUCCCUGUCUCAGCUCAUCACCCCCUCGGCGCGCCGGCUUCCUCUUUCGGAGGUAUUUCGACUGCGAAGCGGAGCAGAGCACCGUCACACACCAUUCGCCGACGCAGGUCUUGAAGAAUUCAACGAGAUCAAGCUGCUCAGGAUAGAGCCUCCCCGACGGGGGAGCUGGGGAUUGAUGAAGGCGUUUUGCUCAAAUGGAAGCGGAAUUCGGCUCCACGCUUGACAGCUGCGUGAUUCUCGGAGCUUCGAGCGUCGUGCAGAGUGCAAAUAGCGGCUACAAUUGCCUGGGCGCUUGCAAUACCGCAAUUGGUGGUGAUAGUGGAGUGGAGAACGAUAAUGGUAGCAUACCGGAAUCGUUCUACACCAACGGAGGCCUGAAGCUGCGCGUUGUGUGGACCAUCAGCUCGUUGAUCGCCGCCUCCGCCAGGCAUUACCUUCUGCAGCCUAUAAUAGCGGAGCACAAGACGCUCUCGAGCUUGGUUUUGACGGAUGCUGAUGGGCAAGGGGUGCUGUCUAUGAAUAAGGAGCAGCUGGAGGAGCUGAGGGUGAAGCCUCUGUCAGCGUCGUCGGCUUCGAAGAGGACUCUUGUUCCGGCUCUCAACAUGCGUUUGUGGUAUGCUCCUCAUCUCGAGUUGCCUAACGGGGUGGUCUUGAAAGGAGCGACUCUGGUUGCGAUCCGGCCGAGCGAGCAGCCCAAGAAGGAGGUGGCGGGAUCGGAGGCAAAUUGGGUUGCAUCGGCGUUUGAGGAGCCAUUUGGGACUGCUGCAAGGAUGUUGGUGAAGAGGAGGACCUACUGCCUCGAAAUGAACUCUUUCUGAAGGAGGUGGCUUAUCUAAGGAUGAAGAGACAGAUGCAUGAGGUAUUUUCUCUUUUUUCUCUUUUUUUACAGAAUCCUUUAAUAAGUUUUGAUUGUUUCGGAGAUCUGUGGUUGAAUGCUAGCUAGUAUAUUGUAAUUCUUCAUUCUGUUGCUUUUUAUCUUAGGUUCGAAGUUGAAUUGUCUCUUGUUUGUUUAUUCUUAUUGCUGUUUCAAUGAUAAUAAAUUACUCUGUCUUGGUUUCUGAAAAUCAUGAGCAAUUUCUCAUACCAAUUGCUUCUGAUUUUUCCCUAAAUUGCAUAUUGGAUUCCCAAUUACAUAAGAGGGGUGCUUGAAGCUAUUGACUCCCUUUGCAUCUGUCUUAUUCCAAAGAGUUUUUCCACUCUGAUUCCAAUUGCGUCCUGAUUUUGGAUCCACUAUGUUGUUAUCUUGCAGUCUGUCACAUUCCCUUCAAUUUUGUUGGUUCAUAAUUUUUUUACUCCAAAUGAAGAAGAAUCAGAAGAUGCUUGUUGUGAACUACUUGAUCUGUUCUUUAUCUUAUCUAAUGGGAAUUGAAGGGCACUGUGUAUCUCCAUUGCUAGAAAGAUUGGUGGAAAUUUCAUUCUGCUAUGAUGCAUCUGUUUGGUUUUUAUACUCCUUACGUUUCUCAGUUAACCAUUUUAUAUCUAAGCUGUUGUGAGAGUGACUCUUGACCAGUUUCCUGUUUGAAUACUAGUUUUUGGGAAAUUCUGUGCUGCAACUGCGACAUCACCAUCUGUUUUAAGCUUUGAUUUCUUGAAUCCGUUUUAUAUCAGUGAUCCUGACUUCCUUAUUCAAGUAUCUUUCAGGUAAGCGAAGGUAAGGUCCCAAAAUCGCAGAGUGCAAAUUUUGUCUUGAGCAGAGCAAGCUGCAAGCGAGUUGCCGGCAAN